AGCCUCAAGAAUGGAUUUGAGGUUAGACCUGCCCAAKGUGAUUAUAUGAAUGGCCGCGGUACUUUGACCGUGYUAAGGUAGCGCAAUAGAUUGGCUUUUAAUUGGAGUCAGGUAUGAAUGGAGUCACGUAGUUUAGCUGUCUCUAUUUUAAUUGAUUGAAAUUACUAUUUAGGUGCMAAAKCCUAANNUUAGAAGGAGGACGAGAAGACCCUUAGAGUUUUACUAAAUUUUAAURAUUUUAUUUACGCAGUUUAGUUGGGGCAACUUGGGAGCAGUUAUGUAAAANAAUCUCCUUUUAAAAUAAGCCGAUAUUUAUMAGAAAAGUUAAACUACCUUASGGAUAACAGCAUAAUUUAUUAAAUAAGUUUGUGACCUCGAUGUUGGACUASGAAGCWUUAAGRUUAGCCSCCUUANAGGUAGGUUCUGUUCGAACUUUUAUUCCU
RNAcentral lists this ribosomal RNA (443 nucleotides) under Hallaxa indecora. RNAcentral describes it as "partial 16S ribosomal RNA". It matches the Rfam family "Archaeal large subunit ribosomal RNA", at positions 1924 to 2667 of the family's 2987-position model. Lineage: Eukaryota; Metazoa; Mollusca; Gastropoda; Nudibranchia; Actinocyclidae. The record is from RNAcentral.